Molecule: long non-coding RNA, 1345 nt
Filed under: Triticum aestivum (bread wheat)
Lineage: Eukaryota; Viridiplantae; Streptophyta; Magnoliopsida; Poales; Poaceae
Description: long non-coding RNA (TAES_LNC024052)
Source: RNAcentral
CUGGAUUUUUGCUGGAACCACUAGUGAGGAUGUUACAAGCAGGGGAGAUUUUUGCAGCAACUAUGUUCUUUUUUUGCUGGAACCGGUCCUAAUUCUUGCUACCAUCUUGUCUUGAUUUUGCUGGAACAAGCCUAAAAAUUGCUACCGUGGUUCGAUUUUGCUGGAACCGGUAAUUUUUCCUGCUCCAACCUAAUACUGGAGAUUUUUGUUGGUAAAGCUUUGACCUCCGGCUGGAUUUUUGCUGGAACCACUGGCUGGGGAUGUUACAAGCAGAGGCCAUUUUUGUUGGAACCAUGUUCUUUUUUAAUCACCGGUUCCAGCUUCUGCUCAGCUCAAUUCAUCUUUUUUGCUGGAACCAAGUCAUUUUUUGCUGGAUCCGGGUCUUUUUUUUUGCUGGAACCGGCAAAUGAUUUUGCUGCGACGGCAACUUCUGAAGUUUUUUGUUGGUUGAGAUUAUUUGCUACCUUCCGAAGUUUUUUUGUUGGUUGAGAUUAUUUGCUACGAUCAAGAGGCGGCGACGCAUUUCUGCUGGAAUCGCGUUAAUUUUUACUGGAAUCAGGGAACUUUUUUGCUUCAAGCAAUUUACUGGGUUGCUAGUUCCUCAAGUCAUUUUUUGCUGAAAACCUUUUGCUUUUUUGCUGGAACCAGUUUUGGUUUUGCUGCAACUACCCAUCGGAGUUCUUUUUGGGCUGAAAUGUGUUUUUUGUUGGAACGAGAUGGUGCAGUUCGACGGCGGCGAUGUCGUGCUAUGAUGGGUGGUGCCUACGCGAGUUGCUGGAAACGAUGUUUGGAUGAGCUGCAUUCGGCGAGGAGUGGUGCUGGAACAACGGGAGAUGAGGAGGAUGUGCUACGCCGGCGAAUUGGAGCUGCAGGGAGAGGCGUGGAGCGAUGGAGAUCCGACUAGCGGCGGAGAUCCAGCGGGUUAGGUCGCUCGUCCAUGGCGCUGGCGCUUGCCAUGCGUGCUCGCAUGAUUUGCAGGGUAGAAACGGUAUGAUGGGGACGAAAGCGACCUGAAUCUGACGACUAAAAGGGAUUUUAUCGAACGUACCGGGUGUGACCGGCCCAAAUUUGGGCCGGCGCGCCAGCGCCUAGCGUUGAGGAAGUACAGGGUCCAUCACGUGAGGAUCAUAUGGGGAGUGAUAGUUUCGCAUGAAGCACAAAUUGCAUUACAUGCGAUCGGAGUAGUACCCGUGAGGGAGUACAAGUAUGUUGUCUCGGAGAGUUAUACCUGUGUUAUUUGUGGAGCACAAGUUUGUUAUAUUUGUAAGUACAAGUUUUGUACAAAAAAAUUCAUCAAAACAUAUCAACAUGCGAUGGGAUCUAAUUCCGAACAUCUCGACGCGAG